RNAcentral lists this ribosomal RNA (429 nucleotides) under Bacillota bacterium. RNAcentral's name for it is "Firmicutes bacterium partial 16S ribosomal RNA". It matches the Rfam family "Bacterial small subunit ribosomal RNA", at positions 355 to 776 of the family's 1533-position model. The record is from RNAcentral. Lineage: Bacteria; Bacillati; Bacillota.
UAGGGAAUCUUCGGCAAUGGACGGAAGUCUAACCGAGCAACGCCGCGUGAGUGAAGAAGGUUUUCGGAUCGUAAAGCUCUGUUGUUAGAGAAGAACGUUGGUAGGAGUGGAAAAUCUACCAAGUGACGGUAACUAACCAGAAAGGGACGGCUAACUACGUGCCAGCAGCCGCGGUAAUACGUAGGUCCCGAGCGUUGUCCGGAUUUAUUGGGCGUGAAGCGAGCGCAGGCGGUUCUUUAAGUCUGAAGUUAAAGGCAGUGGCUUAACCAUUGUACGCUUUGGAGACUGGAGGACUUGAGUGCAGAAGGGGAGAGUGGAAUUCCAGGUGUAGCGGUGAAAUGCGUAGAUAUAUUGAGGAACACCGGUGGCGAAAGCGGCUCUCUGGUCUGUAACUGACGCUGAGGCUCGAAAGCGUGGGGACCAAACAGG